Molecule: ribosomal RNA, 330 nt
Filed under: uncultured bacterium
Lineage: Bacteria
Description: bacterial SSU rRNA
Rfam family: Bacterial small subunit ribosomal RNA
Source: RNAcentral
GAGUUUGAUCAUGGCUCAGAUUGAACGCUGGCGGCAGGCCUAACACAUGCAAGUCGAGCGAGAAAGCACUUCGGUGUGAGUAGAGCGGCGGACGGGUGAGUAACGCGUAGGAAUCUACCUAGUAGUGGGGGAUAACAUGUGGAAACGCAUGCUAAUACCGCAUACGCCCUACGGGGGAAAGAGGGGGACAUUUGCCUCUUGCUAUUAGAUGAGCCUGCGUAAGAUUAGCUAGUUGGUGGGGUAAGGGCCUACCAAGGCGACGAUCUUUAGCUGGUCUGAGAGGAUGAUCAGCCACACUGGGACUGAGACACGGCCCAGACUCCUACGGGA